UACGUAGGGCGCAAGCGUUAUCCGGAAUUUAUUGGGCGUAAAGAGCUCGUAGGCGGUUUGUCGCGUCUGCCGUGAAAGUCCGGGGCUCAACUCCGGAUCUGCGGUGGGUACGGGCAGACUAGAGUGAUGUAGGGGGAGACUGGAAUUCCUGGUGUAGCGGUGAAAUGCGCAGAUAUCAGGAGGAACACCGAUGGCGAAGGCAGGUCUCUGGGCAUUAACUGACGCUGGAGGAGCGAAAGCAUGGGGGAGCAAACAGG
This 257-nucleotide ribosomal RNA is filed under the name uncultured bacterium. Its description in RNAcentral is "partial 16S ribosomal RNA". It matches the Rfam family "Bacterial small subunit ribosomal RNA", at positions 524 to 776 of the family's 1533-position model. The record is from RNAcentral.